RNA transcript from Erpetoichthys calabaricus (reedfish), 2512 nucleotides. It is a transcript of the gene named C1q-related factor-like, with no coding region annotated. The transcript has 3 exons. NCBI's taxonomy places the organism in Eukaryota, Metazoa, Chordata, Cladistia, Polypteriformes, Polypteridae. The record is from RefSeq and is a predicted model, not a curated record.
GAUUUUGCUACUUGCGCACUUUUCUUGAGAGUAGAAGGAAGUGAGCCCAGCCCUUCUCAGACUAUCAGAUAUAAGCCCUGGCAGAACCCGCGUCAGACUGGUAAGCGAUGGACACCGUGAUGCUGCUUCUGUCCAUGUGGCCUGUGCUCAUGGCCACAGGGACGCUCACAGACAAGGGAGGCUGCAGAAUCGUCUGUGACCCCUCCUGCACCGAAGGCCAGCCUCUGAAGAAUGGCCUGGUGAUCCCACUUACCGGCCCAGCGGCUAGCCCAGACGUUAAAGUUGGACCACCUGGAAAGGCUGGUCCUCCUGGCCCACUGGGGUCCCGUGGACAGAAAGGGGAGCCUGGCUUGCCAGGUGAACAGGAGAAGCCAUCUCAGCACUGGGUCGCAUUUUACGCUGCCCUGAAUGAGCACUUCUCAGGUUCUACGGUUCUUAAAUUUCAAGAUGUGAUCACAAACCGGGGAGAGAGCUAUGACUCAAAGACUGGCAAGUUCAUCUGCAAGGUAGCUGGCACCUACUUUUUCACAUACCAUGUGCUGAAGAACAAUGCGGAGCAGAGCACCUGGGUGGACCUGAUGUUGAAUGGAAAGGUAUUUGCCAGUGGCAUUGCACAGGAUGGGAAUGCCAAGUUUGACACCGUGGCUAACAGUGCCAUCUUGCACUUGGCUGCAGGGGAUGAAGUCUACAUCCAGCUUGAUGGAGGAUCAGUGUUCAAGGACAGUAUCAAUCGGUACAGCACCUUCUCCGGCUUUCUGCUGUUUGUCGACUAGAAGGAAAGGUUGCUUGAAGGAGCACAAGAUGGCUAUGAACAAAAUCUGUAGCAGACUCUGAGAUCUGUCUGUGCAAAUGCCGGUUAGGAAAUCAAAGUGUCCACCCGUGUCCAUCUGUUAAAGGUUUGCUAUUUGAACCAAUCUGGUUAGAGACAGCAGCAGGAACCUUCAGCUGGGCAAAAGUGGCCAGGGAGGACACAGGGUUUAAUCUUACAGUCCAUUGAUACCUCAAGCCUGUGAUGGAGCCUCUUAUCUAAUUGCUCCAUAUCAUUAUACCUACAACUAGCUGUGCUACCCAUCUACGACAGGUCAAAACCUAAAUAAUCAACUAGGACCUCAGUGGUUAUGAUUGCAAUGCACCAUCUAUAGGAUUGCAUUUAUUUAAUGCAUGUAGUAAUACAAUGCAAAGCAUGUGUCAUUCCAACAGGUGGUGCAUCACAAUAAUUUAUAUCAAUAAAAUGCAUUACUACAGAUGUUACUAUGACAAAUGCUAUGCAUAUGUCUCUGUUAUAUGCUAUUUGGUAUUUGAUUCAUAAAAGCAGAAGUAAGGUUUAUGAUGUGCCACCUGUUGGAAUAACAAAUGCAGUGCAUUUACUACAAAUAUUUGCGAUGUGCCAUCUGUUGGAAUGACAGAGACAUGGCCACCAGAUGCACACUCAUCCUUUCAUUUAGGUGGAUAAGCAUCUUUUUUUAGAUAUUAAAACUAGCACUGAAGCCUGACUUUUCUGUUCAACACAUCCAUUGCUGCAUGUUGAUUAGAAUUUAAGUGACCAUAAUAACCUUAUAAACCCCAUUUACUUAUUGUGUGGUAUAGUGGUUGAGGCUUUGGAAUUCAAACCCUGAAGUUGUGGAUUGAAAGUCCACUAGUGACACUGUGUGAUCAUAAGUAAGUCACUUCACCUGUCACAAAUGCAACCAAUUGUAUCUCAAAUGUUUUAAUAAAAGCGUCAGCAAAAUACUAAGUAAUAAGAGUAAUUGGGCCACACAUUAGAGCUUGAGUUGCUUUUGAGAUCAUCGACUGGCCAGAUCUCUUAUUUGCUAAAAUGAGGUCACUUGACGCCAACUGCAGGGUCAGUGAUGGCUUCGGCCUAGCAGUUCAUCAUUCACCCUCAUCACUAACUCACUGCUUUAUAGGAACUUUAGGAAGGAAGAUCCAUUGAAAGACCACAGAGUUCAUUUUGAGGGUUGUUUGUUACAUCUAACGAAACAAAACCCUGAUGCCCCUAACCAGGGAUGGACUUGCUCACCCUGAUCUAACUACUAAAUUGAGACUUCUAUAGGGACUGACUCAGAUCUAUUGUAUUAAUACUCCAUUGUGACACGGACAGACUCCAUUCAAAGGACAUUCACUGUACGCUUGUGCCAUCUAGUGGCCUCUUUGAGAAUUUCACCGUUUUUACGCUAAAAUUCCUGUCAUUGAUUUCCAGGACCAAACUGGGAAAGGUUGAUGCAGAGAAAUUACAGCAGUUUUUUCGAGAUUAUUCGAAGUUAAUUACUUUCCUGUUUUAUUUGUAUGCAUAUUAUUAAUUUUAAUCUAAAAUAAUUAAGCCUUUCCUACUUAGUAAUUGUGCUACUCUUCUUCUUUCGGCUGCUCCCAUUAGGGCUACUAUUUCUAAUAAUGCAUUUCAUGAACGUAUCUGUGGGAAGUGACCAAUAUAAAAUAAACUUGAUUGCCUUACAUUGUAUGCUGCCCUUACAAUAAAGUGUUAUUCAAAGCAAAUAAGGCGUAUAGUGUGGUC